UUCUACAGGUAAAGGAAACGGUGUAAAUGUAUAUGUGAUUGAUACCGGCAUCAACCCAACCCACACAGAAUUUGGUGGCCGAGCCGCUGUCGCCUACGACGCCACUGGUGGCAAUGGAAUUGAUUGCAAUGGCCAUGGAACUCACUGUGCUGGAACUAUUGCUGGCUAUAACUAUGGCGUUGCCAAAGAGGCCAACAUCUUUGGUGUCAGAGUUUUUGGAUGCUCCGGUGGCUCUUCUACAUCCACGAUCAUUGACGGAAUCAACUAUGUGUACUGGUAUG
Molecule: long non-coding RNA, 281 nt
Organism: Anneissia japonica
Lineage: Eukaryota; Metazoa; Echinodermata; Crinoidea; Comatulida; Comatulidae
Exons: 3
Source: RefSeq, a predicted model, not a curated record